This 1107-nucleotide ribosomal RNA is filed under the name Triticum aestivum (bread wheat). RNAcentral describes it as "partial small subunit ribosomal RNA". Lineage: Eukaryota; Viridiplantae; Streptophyta; Magnoliopsida; Poales; Poaceae. The record is from RNAcentral.
AUGAUGAAUCGUCAGUUUGCGAAUAUGAUAGUACACAAUUACCCCAAGGGAGUUUAUUCCUUGCGCCGUAUCAACCUCAUGGAGCAUCUCUUCUACCCUUCAACAGAAGCUGCCCAAAAAGCAGAAGCCAAUAAGAAGGGAUGGUUAUCCACCAUGUUGAAAGGGAGCCCCAAGCAGCGUCUGCCCAAGACGAACAUCAACUUCUCAUCACUGCCUAACAUGGCCGACUUAACGGCCAGACAUUUCUUCUCCCUGCUGAAAGGGCAGGGGGAGGGCUCUGUCAUGUUCGUCAGCCCUAACGUCCACACGAUGAUGUACGACACUAGCACGGACUUUGUCUUUGGCAUGCCCCAAGCCAACUUCUGUAAGCAGAGCGACUCAAUCUCCCUGUCCAUCACUCGGCGGGGCUAUGGCCAAGAAUACCACGAGCUGUAUGUCAUAGGCAAAGGAGAGGACGGUGGCUUGUUUGAGGUCUUGAAAUAUACCAGGACAACUGAUCUGAGCAAACCGCCUUGGUACUGGCGACCUCUGCCCUGCCCGCCAUUGUUUCCGCAGUGCCUGCCUGGCGGCAACAGCAAAGUUUGUGCUCCCUCUGCAGCGGUCGUGUUGGAUGCCACCACAAUAUGUGCCUCAUCCGUGGAUGCCGGAGCCUGCGCCUUCUUUGACACGGUAACCCGUGAGUGGAGACAGGCUGGCAGCUGGGUGCUGCCCGUCCAUGGUGCGGCAGAGUAUGUCCCUGAGUUUGGCCUCUGGUUUGGCCUCGACGAUGCCAUUGGCAACCCCAACCAUUGCCUGCGUGCUUUUGACUUCGAUUCCUCCAGGCAACCGGUGGUGCGGCACUCCUGGAGCUAUCUCAGCCGCCUGCCGGAUGAGUGCUUGCCACGGCAGAGGCACCUGCUAAACAUGGGCUCAGGUAAGUUCUGCAUCGCCACCAGCUUUCGGAAUCUCUUGAGGCACACCUCGUGCGCACCACUUGAUGGUGCGGUCGAUGAGCUUACCAUCUUGACCGGUGUGGAGGUGGUGCGCGAUGUCAAUGGUUUCCAGAUCAUCAAGCACAAGUCUGAAUGUUACAGUUUGGAGGACAAUAGAAUCCACUGCGUGCUCUGA